Alexandromys fortis (reed vole) is the source of this 4341-nucleotide long non-coding RNA. RefSeq lists it as uncharacterized. The transcript is spliced from 3 exons. The record is from RefSeq and is a predicted model, not a curated record. NCBI's taxonomy places the organism in Eukaryota, Metazoa, Chordata, Mammalia, Rodentia, Cricetidae.
UUCUAGCCUUUUUUGGAAACAGGGUCUUACAUAUGCCAGGCUGGCGUCAAAAUCACGGUGGAGCUGAGACUGCCCUUGUACUUCUGAUCCUACCACCUCCACCUUCCCAUUGCCGGGAUUGGCGAGCUACCACCACGUCCAGUAGUAUCUGCGGUGCUGAGAACAGAACCAAGAGCUGACGACUGUGAGCAAGAGCUGGGCCAGCUGAGCCCGACCCACGAGCACAAGUCUCUAAGCUUUGACUGUCACUAUUCUGAAGAAUAAGGGGGACCAGAACGUGGCACCUGAGAGCACAAAGAUGCCGCCCACACAACUAUCCAGACUCAGGAUGUGGGGACUUCUGCGGAAACUGUAAGGAAAACAAGUUCUGCGAACAAGUGUAACAGAUUGCUGUUGGGGCGACUUAACUUCAGCAGAAGCGGGAGGUAGAGCUGCCCAUACCCUCAGGCAUGCAGGAGACCGUGGACACCAGAGGAGUCCAUUAGAGCUGGAGCUGAGCAGUGGCAGGCAGUUGUGAGUCACCCAGUAUGGGUGGUGGGACCCGAACUCAGUCCUCCGCAAGAGCAGCAAGCGUGUUUGGCUUCGAGCUCUCCCUCUGGCCCUCAUGCCUCUUCUUAGAUGUAGGCGUCUCUUGCACUGACGGUGGGGCCUGUGCACUGUGCUGCCCGCCGAGCUGCUGGCCCUUGUGUGGCGUGGGACACUUGAGUGCGUGAUUCUUUUAAACGGAAGGAGCUCUAUUUGCACAGCACAGCUCUUCCACUGCUAGUGGGUUCUGUCUGUGCUAAGAAACAAGCAGCACUGCUGGAGCAUAGCCACAGGCAGGCAUGCUUCUCAGCAUGCUGCAGACCCUGCAUUGGUCCCCAGUGCUGGUUGGGAGGAGGAGCAGAAAGCACUGUCUCUGUCAUGACCCCUGCCCUCCAGGUCUUUCUUGGAUCCUGGCUGCAGAAUACAGAAAGUCACUUUGGUCCAGUUUGAGGAAGCAGAAACAACCAAGGGCAUGAAAUCAGCUCCCCCUCUGGAGUAAAUGAUACAUUUACACUUAAUGGACACCCAUUUUACCCUUUGCCGUCCUGAAUCUGCCUCAUUUGGUACACUUGGCAAACUGGCUCACUACUUUUCCACCUCACAGCAGCGAGCAUGGCCGCACAAAGUUCCUGCGAUUUUAUUUCCUCCACUCAACAUACCAGCUGGGCUGAGGCUGCGUUUGUCUGUCGGUGUUCCUGCCAAACUGGCGAGGUGCCAAUUGCCCUAGGGUGGCCUAGGUGUGCAGCCUUGUUCUGGAUCACCUGACGGAGGACAGGUCAGCCUGAGCUGGAUGAAGUUCUGUUGUUUAUGUCUGUGUGGCUCAAGAGGAAAAGGGACCAGAUAAGAAGUGGGGCUUGGGGAGAGAAGCCCAUGGGAGGUGACCACAGUGCUCACCCAGUCACUUGGUGACCUGGUCCUUUACUGAGUUGUGUAUGUGUCUCUCUAGCCUCCUUUGAUGGAAGUUUCCUUAUCUUGUGUUCCAUUACACAGGACUCUGCUGCUAGGUGACUAAUCUGAUAUAGACAGCAAACGACAGCGAAGACUCAGAACAUCAGUUUCCUCACUGAGCAAGUGAGGACAAAAUGGCCUACCUUGAGCCAGGUGUGGUGACACGUACCUUUAAUCCCAGCACUUGGGAGGCAGAUUUCUGUCAUUUCGAGCUCUAUAGAACAGGUUCAGGGACAGUCAAGAUUAUUACACAGAGAAACUGUGCCUCGAAAAUCAAAAAUAAAAACAAAAAAGGCCAGUCUGGAAGUGGGGGGUUAGAGAUUAGUAAUAAAAAUUAACGUCAACAAUACUUAUUUCCUCCUAAUAAACACAUUUUUCAGUUUAGUCUAUGGAUAUCAAUGAAACUGACUUGUCUUCUGGGUCAUUUGACAUGUGUCAGAAUGCAGGGAUACACAGACUCUUAGUGACCCUCAAAUCAUAGAGCAGAGUUCCAUGUCCUUUCAAAUAGUAACGUGUGAUUAUGUGAAUGGAUGGUGUGUGUGUGGAUGUGUGUGCCACGGCACACGUGAGAAGUCAGAGGACAGCCUGUGAAGCUAGUCCCCCUUAGACCUUCCAUGGGUUCCAGGUACCGGACUCGGGGUGUGCAUGGCAAGUGUCUUUAUCCCGAGUCAUCUUGCCGUCUCUGUAUUAUUUUUAAAAAUAUCACCAAAUUUAUCCUGUUUAUAAUUCAGAUUUGAGAAGAAAGGAUAAACCAUUCUCAUAUUCAAGGGUAAGAAUCUAUCGAACUUCAGGGACCACAGAGAUCUAUAGGGACCCACGGAGACCCACAGAGCCCACAGAGAUCCACAGUCAAAUAUGGGGGAGACGAACUCGGGGAAUCCUGCAGAAGAGAGGGAGGAGGACUCCGUAGGAGCCAAAGGAGUCAAGAAAACCCACAGAAUCAACUAAUCUGGUUCAUAGGUGUUCACAGAGUCUGAACCAACAACCAGGGAGCCUGCCUGGGGCUGAUGUAGGCCCUUAACAUGUAUGUGACGGUUGUGGUCUACUUGCUGUCCCUGAUGCUUUGGCAGGCUUUGGGGACCCUAUUCCUCACACUGGAUUGCCUUGUCCUCUUAAUACAAGGGGAGGAGCUUAGUCUUACUGCAACUUGAUAUGCCAUGCUUUGUUGAUGUUCAUGGGAAGCCUGGCUUUUUCUGAACAGAAACAGAGGAAUGGAUUAGGGGAGGGGGUGGAGGGGCACAGAGUGUGUAUGUGUGGAGGAGUGGGGAGAGGAGAGUUGAGGGGGGGACUGUGGCCAGGAUGUAAAAUAAAUUAAAUUUAAAAAAUGUAUCAAACGGCAGGAUCUUGAGAACAACUUUUUGCCAAUGUCCUGAUCUGUAGAAAAGGUAAUAAUAGCUGCAGAGUCAUAGGAUUGUCAUAGCAAUUAAAUUUGUUACGUUCGUGAAGUGCUCAGAAUAGAACUUAGCAGAAGGAAACACCAUAUAUGUGUUAACAAUUAAUAUUACUUUUUUAAUUUAUGGUUUCUUAAACUUUAAGUUGUAAUAUGUCAGCAACGAAUGGAAAUGCAAAGAUGGAUUUCUUCCAAAACAAAACAAAACACCCACAGAGCCUUGAGAAGUCAGGCAUAGUGGUCUGCACUUGUAAUUCCAGUUCCUGGGAGGCAGAGGCAAAAGGGUUAUUUUAAGUUCCAGGCCAGCCUGAUCUACAUACCAAGUUGCCUUCCAGCUGGGGUACCACAGGGAGACACUGUCAAAAAUUUUAACUUUAAAUUUUUUAAAAAUGAUUUAUUUACUUUUGUUUUAUGUGCAUUUUUUUUUGUUGUUUGUUUUUUGCCUGAAUGUAUGUCUGUGUGAGGGUGUUAGAUCCUCCUGGAGUUACAAGCAGUUGUAAGCUACCAUGUGGUUGCUGGGAAUUGAAUCCAGGUCCUCUGGAAGAACAGCCAAAGUUCUUAACCACUGAGCCAUCUCUCCAGCCCAUUUUAAUUUUUAAUGAAAAUCACUUUAUUGUAAAAACUUUCAAAUAAAAUAUCACAUACCUAGAUUAACUUAGCCCUUCAAACAAGCACUUAUUUGAAUCCAAGAUUUCUACAUCCCAGUAAACAUCUACACAGUUAGAAAAACCGCGAAAAGAAGCACAAAGAAGUGCAUUGUAACUAAUAAGAAGACUCGUCACUGAGGGCUGUCGUGGUGGUUUGAAAGAAAAUGGCCCCAGAGGAAGUGGCACUAUUGGGAGGUGUGGCUUUGUUGGAGGACGUGGGUCACUGUGGGGUCGACUUUGAGGUCCUCUAUGCUCUCGGUACACUCAGCGUGGCACACAGUUGCUUCUGCUGCCUGCAGAUCAAGAAGCAGAACUCUCAUCUCCUUCCCCAGGCACCAAGUCUGUCUGCAUGCUGCCAUGUCACCUGCCAUGACAAUAGUGGACUAAACCUCUAAAAUGUAAGCCAUCCCAACUAAAUGUUUUUCUGUAUGAGUUUCUGUCGUCAUGGUGUCUCUUUACAGCAAUAGAAAACCUAAGAAGCUAUGAAAUACGAGCCCAACCCAUGAGUUUCAAUAUUUGUCUUUUUGCCUAUUACGAAUCAGUCCUUAUUAUUUAUUUGAAUUCCACCAAGAAGAGAGGGAACGAGAGACAGAAGCUGCCCUGGUGCUGGUCAAGUGCCUACGGUUCUAACUCCGGUUCUGCUCCCCAGGAGGGACGAGUUUCCAGGUGAUGACCUAAACUCACAGGGAUCUCAGGGUCCCUCGGUCAACCUUGCCUAAGCAGUGAGCCCUGGGACAAUAAAGAAACCAUGUUUCAAAAAACAAGGCGACCGGCAUCUGACGAAGGACACCUGAGGUUGAUCUCAGAUAUAUGUUCGUGCACACACACAAG